Molecule: long non-coding RNA, 39191 nt
Organism: Cyprinus carpio carpio
Lineage: Eukaryota; Metazoa; Chordata; Actinopteri; Cypriniformes; Cyprinidae
Source: Ensembl
UUUAGGUUUAGAUUUACGUUUAUUUCAUUCCAAAGCAAGACAUUACAAAUAAUAUGUUUGUGUGUGAGACAAAUUCAAGCAAUACAUUAAAAACAAUAUGUUGUGUGUGUGUGUGUGUGUACAUGAGUCUGGCAUAUACUUAUUACAUUGGAAUAUAAUUGUUUUGGAACUCAUGGGUUUUUGAUCCUCUUAAUGAACCUGUUGGUGUUAUCAUCUAAAAAUCCAUUGCAUCAUUUUUAAACUGGGUUCAAAUGAACAAAUUUCUCCUUUUGUUCAGUUGGUAAUUAUAUCGCCUCUGUAAUUAUCCUACCAGUGUAGUUCACUCUUAGACAUACUGUGGAUCCUUGUGAAAUCCAUCUGUGUUAUAUAGGGCACAUCUGCAACACUCCUGUCAUGCAGAGCUGCAAGAAUGUGAAUGCAACAAACACGACCUCGAGCACUCAUGAACAGGAUAUCCAUCCUCUCACAUUCAUCUGCACUCUUCUCAUCCCCAAAGGAAUGUGCAUAUAUUACCUUUUAACAUUACAGGUGAGCUUUGCUUUUCACAGAUAAUUGUGCAGAAAUUUCCAAAGUUGCCAAUUAGCAUUAACAAAAGAUUUAGGAUUAAGUGUAAGAACCCAAACACACAACACAAGAUAAUUAUAUCAAUUUGUCAUGAGAAAUCAAAACAGAUAAUUUUAGGAUCAUUUGACCCAGAGUGUUUUACUGACACAUUGGUGAAAACAAAAGAUGCAUACAUACACACACACAUUAUGCUAAUAAGUUAUUUGAGAAGUUAAUUGCAUAGAUGUACUGUAUGUAAUCAUGAAAGAUUCAUUCUGGCUUAUGCAAGCAUCUGUGUUGUGAUUUAAAAAUGCAAAACUGAUUUAUUGGACUAUAUAAACUGUGAUAAACAUUAAACAUUUGGUACUAUGCAAAUAAUCUGUAAUUAUAUUACUAAGUACUUAUGGUAUCCAGUAUUCCGUGUUUUUAAUAGACUACUAAAAUGCUGUGGGUGGUUUCCUCCCACCAAAUGUUACUUAUAAAUAUAUACAUACAAAUACUGAUAAUGCAUGGAUUGUAUUUGUUUAGGAAAGGCUUCUCUUCUUAAUGAACAAGACCUGUGCUUAUAAAAUGUCCUCAGUUUCCUCCACAGUGUCUCUGGGACAGCAGCAACUGCAGCACCGUCUGAUCCAGUGCAGUAGCCGCAAUCUCCGUGAAGUUGGCCCGACUAUGCCUCCUCUCUGGGAUUCUCCUUUCGCUCCUUUCUCCCUCUCUUCACUCAGGGCAUGCACAGAAAUCUCCAUCCUUCCACCGACUCUUUCCAUCUGUUCAGUCGUCACUCUUUGAGCUCCUCCAAUCUGCUCUCCAUCUCCUUCCAGCAUCAGCGUUUGCACGGCUCUGUCCGUCACCCGUCUGAAUCUGUCCACUCUUAGAGCUGCAUCACUAAUGAGGCGCUCCAUAAUCUCCAAGUGCUGACUACUUGUUUCUGUUUCUUCACUCUUCAGUCGAUUGAUUUCAAUCAGCAUACACUCCCUUAACAGAAGUAUUUCCUUUUCCUUUUCUAUGAGCAUGAGUCUGUCAGUUUCCCUCUCAUGCUGGAGGGCUUCAUUAUAUCUUUCCAUUUCAGCUUUCCGUAGCUCCAACUCGAUUUGUUCUCUUUGCAUUCCCAGUCUUUCCAGUUCCUUCCUCUGUAUGUCUUGUAAUCUGUUCUUUAGUUCAUCUUUCAUUUCCUGUAUUCUCCUUUUCAUUGCAUCUAUCUCUUCAUACUGUGGUGGAGCAUCUCUUUCCUGGUCUUCAGUUUGUGUCUCUUGAGUUCUCUUCUGCUUAACAUCCUCUGUAUGUUCUUGAAUGGAUUUUGUAGUUGCCAUUACUUCAUGAUCUUCUUGUUCACUCUGAAUAUUAGUUUCCUGUUGAGUCUUCUCAGUCCUUGUCUGUCUUUGUAUGUCAGUCUCAAUUUGUUGCAGUUCUCUUCUUUUGCAUUCAUAGCUUUGUGUGAGAUGAUCAAUCUCCUUGGUAAGUCUCAGUACCUCAGCUUGAACCUUCUCCAGGCUGUUCCUCCUCCUCUCGAGACUCUCCAUGAUCACUGACUUUUCUUCUUCAGCGGUUUUACAUUCAUCCCUCAAUUUAUGCAGGUGAUCCUUUGCCUUCUCCAUCUCAAGAAGGCCAGUUUGUAUGAUCUUCAUUUUAUUCUCCAUUUCGUCAUGUUGCCUCUGUAGUUCAGCUCUCAUGAUGUUUAGCUCAUCUCGUUCUAGGGUUGUGCCAUCCAUUAGCUGAAGAACUUCUCUUUGGGUGUCAGUUUUGUAGAUUUUUGCUUUUGUUUCUCCAUCUGUUUUGGCCCAAUGAAUCUCAGUCAGUUCCAGACUGCUGUCUCUGUCUGUCUUUUUCUCCUCUUUAGUGUCUUGUACUUGUUCCAAUGCUUUUUUGUAUGUGACUUUCUCAGCAUCCCUGUCACUUUUAACGGAAGUAUCAUCUGUUUUUCCCUUGAUUUUUAGUGUCUCCUGUUCAUUUUGCUUUUGUUGAAGCAACUCAUUUUCAAUGUUUUCCUUCUCUUCUUUCAGUGACCCUAUAGUCUCUUCCAGUUGUCCCAACUUUAUCACGAAUGCUUCUGUGAUGCUCUCUAUUUCCUUAUUUUUCUUCUCAAGGUUGUUUGAUAAAUCCUCCUUGUCUUGUGUAAGUUGUAGCAGUUUUUCUUCAUUUCUUGACUUCUCCUUCAUGACUUCCUUCAUAUUUCUCUCAAAGUCUUUUUUUGCUUGUUCCAGUUCAUGUCUCUCUUUUUUCAUCAUUGUCUUCAUUCUCUCCAAAUCUUCAAUUUCUUUGUUUAAAGAGUCCAUUAUUUCUUGCACUUCAGAUGGGUGUGUGUCUUUUGACUUGGCCACAGUGGGUUGUUUUUUCUUUGUUGCAGCCGUUUCAUCUUCUAAUUCCUUUUGUCUACCAUCAUCUGUUUUCUUAAAGUCAUCCAAAGAUGUUUGUGUUUCAGCAUCUACUGAGGUGGUCUUCAUCUGAUAUAUCUCAAGUUCAUCUGUUUUUUGUUUCUUUACUUCUACGUCCUCUCUUAGGACAUCAGCAUCCCUCUUUGAGUGAUCUUUUGUUUUCAUCUCUUCUGGUAAGCGAUGCAUUUCUACUUUCUGUCUCUUUAUUUGAAUCUCCAUGUUUAACAUCUCCAGUUCAGAUAAUUGUCUGUUUAUUUGCUUUUGCAGGUCCUCCAUUGUUCUUGUCUUUUCUUCUAUAAUGCCUUCCAUGUCCUCUUUUUCUUUCUGCAUCAUGUCUUUAUCUUGUUGCAGCAAAGUUCUCUCAUGUUGUAUGCUUUGUUUGCUGUCUUCAGCCUCUUUCUUCAGUCUGUUUAAAUCAGCUCUCUCCUUUUCGAUACGAUAUUUUUCACUUUCAUUUAUCUUUUUGCUGUUUUCAAUCUCCUUUUUGUCCCUUUGAAUGUCAUUAUUAAGCUUUUCAAGCUCUUCUUGUUUUGUCUGGAUAUUUUUAUUGAGCAUAUGUCUGUGUUCAUCAAGUUCAGACUUCUCUUUCUGAAGCACAUCUCUCUCUCGUUUGAUGACCACCAUGAUGUCUUCUAAUUCCUGCUGCUGUUGAUCUAAUGUGAGCUUUUUCUUUUCGAUCUGAUUUUUUUCCACCUCAAUUGUGUUCCUCAGUUCUUCUAGUUCAUCCAUCUGUUUCUGGAGAUCAGCCUGCAAUUCAGCAUCUGUCUUUUCUUCUUCAGUGUCCUCCUUGACCUUUUGUAAAGCAGCUUGGAUCUGUGUUUCACUCUCCACUGCUGUUUUUACAUCUUUCUUCUUUAUUUGGGUCUUGGCUUGCUGAUCAAUUUCUGUCAGUAAAUCUGCUCUUUUCUGAGUUAAAUUUUCCAUCUCUUUUUCAAACUGUUCUCUGUUUUCUGCCAUUUCUUGCUUGGACCUUUCAAUUUCAAAAUUUAAGCUUUGCAGUUCAUCUUUCUUUCUCUGGAUUUCUUUCUUCAAAGCAUCAGUCUCCUCUCUUUCCUUUCCAAGAGGAUCUGCUGUGAUUUUCUCAAGCUCAUCGGUCUGUUGCUUUGCAUCAACUUUGAUUUGAUCAAAAACAUUCUUCUGAUCUUCAAAUGUUUUGAUUUUUUCUUGUAGUUGUCGUCUGUCUUGUUCUAGAUGAGUUUUCAUGCUCUCUAAAUCAUUUCUCACUUUUCUGUUUUCAUUCAUCAAGCCAUCUACCUCUUGCUGCUGUUGAUUCAUAACAAUUUGCCUCUUUUCCAGCUGCAUUUUCUCAGCUAUCACAAUGUUUCUUAAGUUAUCUACAUCUUUUCUUUGCAUGUCAAGUUCUUUUUCUUUGUUUUCCAGAUCCUGUUCUUUAAGUCGUAUUUCAUUCUGUGUGCUUUCCACUGUCUCUCUUAGCUGUGUUAUAUCAGUAAUCUUCUGCUCCAAUGUCAGCCUCUCUUUGUGCAGUUCUUGCAUUGUCAAGUCAUUUUUUUCUUUUUGCUUUUGGAGAUCUUCUCUUAGAGCCUCAUUCUCUGCUUUGCUCUUCUCUAAGUUCUCUUUCUGUGUCUGAAGUUGCAGUAGAUCUGAUUGCAGAAGCUUUGUCUGCCUCUCGAUGUCGGCACGCAUAGUACUGAGCUCUUCUUCUUUCCUUCUCAUGUCAUCCAGUCUCUUUGGAAUGUUCUCUUGGUCUUUACUGAUUUGAGAGGUGAUUCGGUCAGUUUUCCUGAUUUCCUCAUUAAGAUUUUCAGACUUUCUUUGUAAAUCUGCCUUGAUCUCCUCCAGAGAGUCUUUUUCUUUUUGAAUAUUUUGUUUGUCAUUGUUCAUUUGCACAAUGUUGCUGUCCAGUUGAGAUUUUUUAUUUUCAGUUUCGUUCAUUAACUGCUUCAGCAUUUUCUUUUCCUCUUCAAUGCUCUUCUUCUCCAACUGUAACUCGGUUUUUAAUUGAUCCAUUUCAUGUUUUUCUGUUAACAGUCUGUCCAGCAUAUCUUUCUUCUCUUCCUCAGAUUUAUUUCUCAAUUGCUCUAGGUCUUCCAACUCACUCUUGAUGGUUUUCAGAAUGUUUUCCAUCUCUUGCUUUUCUUGUUUUACUUCUGCUUUCUCUCUGUCAAGUUCAAUUUUCUCUCUUUCUAAGAUAUUCCUUAGCUCUUCUACUUUGGUUUUCUGUUUCUGUAUAUCUGCUUCGCAUAGAGUUACUUUCUCUCUCUUAUUUUCCAUUUCAGUGGUUUUCCUUUCUAGCUCAGCAUUCAUUUUCUCCAAAGCCUUUCUUUCUCUUUGCAUGUCAUUCUCUUUGAUUUCAAAAUCCUCUUGCUGUUUUCUGAUUAUUUUCUCUAGCUCUUCAUGUUUAGUCUGUAUUUCUGCAUUCAUCUGUUCAAUUUGAUUCCUUUCUUUUGCUAACCUCACCUUGACAUUUUCUAUGUCUUCUAACUGUCUCUGUAUCUCAACUUCAGCAUGCUUCUCUCUUCUUUUGUUUUCCUCUGCUAGUUUAUCCAUAUCUUCUCUUUCUUUUUGUUGUUGAAUAACUAAAGCAUUUAGAUUUUCCCUCUCUUUUUGUAAGUCCUUCAUAAUUUUCUCUAGAGCAUUUGUCUCGUGUUGAAUCUCAGUCCUUAUGUCUUCUAAUUUUUGUUUUUCAAGCUUGAUCUCUUCUUUUUGGUCAUUUAAUUGGGUUUGCAUCUUUUCAAUAUGUUCCAUCUCUCUAUUAAUUCUCUCUUUGGUGGUUUCAACGUCCUCUUUCUCUUUCAGCAAUUGAUCAUUCAGAUGUGCUAGUCUUUUUCUCUCAGUUUUUAAGACUUGCAUGUCCUCGUCAUCUUGUCUGGACCUUUCAGUGGCUACCUGUGUCUCAACCCACUUUAUUUCUGCAGCUUUCCCAAUGUCUUCCACUUGUUGUUUGUGUUUGUUUAUUUCACACCUCUCUUGUUCUAGCUCACUCUUCUCCAUUGUCACUUCAUUCAUCAUUUCUUCUAGGUCUUUUGUCUGCUUUUGAAUUUGUUCUUUCAUGUGCAGCAGCUCGUCUCUUCUCAUUCUUAAAUCUUCAUUUUCCUUUUUAAUUUGUUCACGUUCUUCAGCCAUCUCAUCCUUAAAUUUCUCCAGAUUUUUCUUCUCUGCCUCUCUCUCCUCUGUUUUGAACUGUAGAUUUUCUAAUUCCUUAAGCUUAAUAUUCAGUUCAUUCACCAUGUCCUGUAAUCUCAUUUCUGCUUCUCUCUUUUCUUUUUCUAGAAACUGACAAGUGCUUUUCAAUUCUGAUUUUUCUCUGUUCAAAUUGUCAUUCAUCUGUUCCAGGUCAUCCUUCUGUCUCUUGGUUUCAUUGAGGAUUGCUUCAAUCUGGAUAAUUUUAUCUUGUAAGAUCUUAUCACUGUCCGUGACCCUUAUUUCUGCAGCCAUUUGCUGCAUUUCAGCUUUCUUCUUUUCCAGCUCACCCUUCUCUCUUGUUAUAAUGUCCAUCAUGUUUUCAAUUUCUCUCUGCUCAUUCUGGAGGUCGGCUUUCAUCCUUUCUAUUUCAUCUUUCUCUUCUUUUAAUGUGUGCAUAACACUGUGAGUUUCAUCAUAUUGCACUUCUGCAUUGGUUUUCUGUGGUUCCUCUUUCUGCAAAUCUGUUUUUAUUUGCUCCAGUUCAUGUUUUUCUCUCUCACAUUCCCUUUGUAUCUUCUGAAUUUCUUCUCUUUCAUUGUCAAUUUCAGUCUUCAUUUUUUCAAAUUCUGCUCUCCUUUGAUGAAGCUCUUUUUGUCUCCGUUCUUCAGUGUGCUCCAUUUCUUCUUGCUUUGUUUUCAUUUCCUCCUCAAUCUGUUUAAUCUUGUUUAUCCUUUUAUUCGCCUCAGUCAUAAUAAUUUUAAACUCUUCCUGUUCUUUGAAAAGUUGAGCUGCCAUUUCUUCUACCCUUUUCUUUUCUUUCAGUACAUCAUCCAAAAGUCUUUCUAUGUCCUCUGCUCUCCUUAACCUUGAUUCCAGCUUGUCUCUUUCUGUCUCUGUGUUUUGUUUCAUAAGCCUAAACUCCUCUUUAUGUGUCUCCAGAUCGAUUCUCAUUCUAUUCAGUUCAUUUCUUUCUGAGUUCAGCAUUGCCUGACGCAUCUCCAUUUCCAUUUGCUCCUUCUGCAGCCCAGUGAGUAUUUUUUCAACUUCAUCCCUCUCCUUUCUUAAUGCUUCCUUUUGGUUCUGUAUUUCCUCCAGGUGUCUUUUUAUAUACUCCUCUCUCUCUGGAAGUAUUUCAGUUAACUCGUGUUCCUCCAUUUCUUUGGUGUCCACCAUCUCUUGUCUCUUUCGUUUUAGCUCUGUAUUUAUGAAGUCCAACUCCUCUUGUCUCUGUUUCAUCUCAGCAGAGAUGGUUUCCAUUUCUCUCUUCUUUUUUUGUAGUUGAAAUUCCAUGUUUUCUAUUUUCUCCUGUUUGCUCUUGAUCUCCAUUAGAAUUUUUUCCAUGUCCAUCUUAAUUUGAUCUUGAGUCAUUUCUAACUCAGAUCUUUCAUUUUCCAUAUUCUGUCUGCAUAACUCCAUCUCUUCAUAUUGUUUCUCCAGAUUCUUCCUCUCUCUGUCAGUGUGUUGUCUCAUUGUCUCAAUCUCUUUCUGGUCUCUCUGUAAAACAAGUCUUGUCUUUUCUAGUUCCCUCUUCUCAGUCAUCAACAUUUCAGUAAGGCCAUCCACUUCAUCUUUAUUGAACUCCAACUUUACUGUCAUGGAUGGAUCAGCUAUAUCUUUAUAUUCUGUUGUCAGUGCAGUGUCUUCUUGGCUCGAGUCCAUUUUGGUUUCUUCACUUCUCAUUUUGAGCUCUGUGUCCUCCUGAUCUCUCAUUCUCUCUAAUUCGUCUUCCAUCCCUUUUGUCAUGAAAGUUGUAUAUUCCUUAUGAAUGCCUGUGUGUUCCUCAACAAUCUGUUCCUGAGGGGCUGAAAUGUUACCUACAGGAAUGUUGUCUAGAUCAGAUGUUUGUGUAGCAGAACUAACCAAAAUUAAUUCCAGCCUCUGUGUUGGUUGUUUUCUCUUCAUCUCGUCCAUUGCCUCUCUCUGAUGUUCAAGGAUUUUUUUGUUUCUUUCAAGUGCUUCCCUUUCCCUUUGAAUCUCGGACAAGAGUCUGUUGGCUUCAUCUAUCUGUAUCUGUUUUCCUUGAGAGGCCAUUUCUUCUCUCUUCUGUUGAAGAAGCUGUCCAGAUAGAUGUUCUUCUUUUAAUGUUUCAGACACAUCUUUCUCUUUUUCUAACUGUUGUGUCUGCUCUUUCAUGAUCUCUGUUUUAUCAGUCUGUCUCUUGAUUUCAGCCUUGGACUGUUCCAGAUCUUGCCUCUCAUCUUGCACUAUUUGCAAUUCCAGUUUGAUUUGCUCUUCUUGAGCAUUGAGUUCGGCUUUUGUUUGAUCCAUUUCCUUCUUUAGAUGGUCUAUCAUAUCCUUGCUCCUAUCAGUUUCUUUUUGUUCUAUCAAUAUCUUGGCCAUCAGUUGAUCAAGUUCCUCUCUCUCCAUCUUUGCUUUUACUCUCAUUUCUUCUUCCAUUUGUUGUCUGUAUUUUUCAAAAUCAUUUCUCAUGUUCUCUAGAUCUCUUCUCUCCUCAUUCACAACUCUUAUACUCUCCUCCAGUCUUUGCUGCUGUUGAUUAAUUUCAGCCUUUUCAGUCUGUAAGUCAUUUUUGAUUUCUUCAAUUUCGUCUCUUUGUUUUUGCAAUUUCUUCUGGAGAACAUCCAGCUCAUUCCACUUCUUCAUCUUGUCGUCUUUUUCUUUCUCUAAUUCAUUUCUCUGUCUCAAGAUUUCACCAGCCUUGUGCUCAAGAAGCUUCUUCUCUUCAUCCAUUGAUCUUUUACUCAUCUCUUCUUUUUCUUUUUGUUCUGUCAUGUGCUUCUCUAGGUCAUCAGCCCUUCUUUGCAAAUCUUCUCUUUCCUUUUCAAUGUUAUUUCUAUCUUUUUCCAGAAGAUUUUUCUCUGUCUCAAACUUUUGAUUUUGUUGUGAUAUAUCAAACAUGAUUUUCUCUAAUUCACCCCUUCUCCUGUUUGUUUCUUCUAUGACUCUUUCAUAUUCCUUAUUAGCCUGUUUAAGUUUUUCUUCCAUUUCUGUUUUUUCAUCUUUCUUUCUGGUGUCCUCCAGAACAUUCCUCAUAGACUCAGUCUUUGACUGUUCAUAUUCAUAAAUUCUCUGUUGUAAUUCUGUCAAUUUAUGAUUCAUUUCUUCUCUUUCUUUUUCUAGAAGGUCUCUGCAGUUCUUUAACUCUUGUUUUUGUUUAUUUAUAUCUGUGUUCAUCCUUUCCAGAUCUUCUUUUUGUCUGUUUGUUCUUUCAGUGACACUCUCAAUUUCUUCCUUUUCCUUUUGUAGAUGAGCUUCCUUUUCUUUCAUUGUUUGUCUCUCCUUAUUAAUUUCCUCUUCCAUGUAUUGCACUCGUUCACUUUCUUUUUGCAGUUCUGUCUUUAUUUGAGACAGAAAAUCUUUUUCAUCAUUGAUCUUUUGUCUCUCAAGUUCAAUUUCUUCUUCAUGAAGUUUAAUAUUAUUUCUCUUUUCUUCCUCCUCAUUCAAUAAUUUCUGUACAUUUUCUUUGCUUUUCUCAAUAUUAGAUUUUUCUAGAUCUGUCUGUUUUAUUUUGUUGUCAAGUUCUGAUCUCUCUUCUUCUAUUUGUUUUCUUUGUAACAUUACUUCAGACCACAUCUUCUCAAGGUCAUUUCUUUUCUGUUCAAUGAUCUUUUUGGCAUCAUUAAUUUUCUUCUGCUCAUGAUCUAUUUUAGUUUUCUCUCUUUCCAGUUCACUCUUUAUCUGACCAAAUUCUUCUCUCUCCAUCUUUUCUUUUACCAUCCUUUCUUCUUCUUUCUCUUGUUCUUUCUUAAUAUGUUCUUGCAGUGUACACAACUCUUGCAUUUUUAGGCAUAUGUCUUGAUGUUCCUGCUCAGCUUUAGUUUUCAGCUUUUGAAUCUUGACUUUGGUCUCUUCUAGACCUUUUCUUUCUUCUUCUAUUUCCUUUUGUUCUGUUAGAUAUUCUUCCUUCUGUUUGCUGACUUGAGCAUCAAAUGCAUUCAUUCUCAGUUGUAACACUGUCCAUUUAUGGUUUAUUUCUUCUCUUUCUUGUUCUAGAAGGUCUCUGCUGUUCUUCAUCUCUUGUUUUUGUUUAUCCAGAUCCUCUUUCUGUCUCUUUGUUUCUUCAGUGACACUCUCAAUGUCUUCCUUUUCCUUUUGUAGGCGAGCUUCCAUUUCCUUCAGUGUUUCUCUCUCCUUCUUUAUUCCCUCCUCCAUGUAUAUGUUUUGUUCAGUUUGUUUUUGCAGCUCUGUCUUACUUUGAGCUAGAAUUAAUUUUUCAUCAGUGAUCUUUUGUCUUUCGAGGUCAAGUUCUUCUCUUUGGAGUUUCAUAUAAUUUCUCUGCUCUUCUACUUUAUCCAAUGAUUUCUGAACUAUUUCUUUGUUCUUUCCAAUUUCAUCCUUUUCUAGAUCAAUAUCUUGUAUUUUCUGGACAAGUGCUGAUCUCUCUAGUUUGAUUGCUUCUCUCAUGUCUUCCAUUUGCUUUCUUUCUGUCAUGAUGUCAGACCUUAUCUUUUGCAGGUCUUUUCUUUCCUGUUCAAUCAUCUUCUUAUCAUUGUCCAUUUCAGUUUUCUCUCGUUCCAGUUCCUUUAUUAUCUGAUCGAGUUCUUCUCUCUCUAUCUUUGCUUUUACUCUCAUUUCUUCUUCUUUCUCUUUUUCUUUCAUAAUAUGUUCUUGCAGUGUGUUCAACUCUUGUAUUUUUAGUCUUAUGUCUUGUUGUUCCUGCUCAGCUUUAGUCUUCAGCUCCAUGAUCUUGACUUUGGUCUGUUCUAGACCUUUUCUUUCUUCUUCCAUCUCAUUCUGUUUCAUGAAAUCUUGUUCCUUCUGUUGCCUGGCUUGAGUAUCAAAUUCAUCAAUUCUCUGUUGUAACUCUGUCCAUUUAUGGUUUAUUUCUUCUCUUUCUUGUUCUAGAAGGUCUCUGCUGUUCUUCAUCUCUUGUUUUUGUUUAUCCAGAUCCUCUUUCUGUCUCUUUGUUUCUUCAGUGACACUCUCAAUGUCUUCCUUUUCCUUUUGUAGGCGAGCUUCCAUUUCCUUCAGUGUUUCUCUCUCCUUCUUUAUUCCCUCCUCCAUGUAUAUGUUUUGUUCAGUUUGUUUUUGCAGCUCUGUCUUACUUUGAGCUAGAAUUAAUUUUUCAUCAGUGAUCUUUUGUCUUUCGAGGUCAAGUUCUUCUCUUUGGAGUUUCAUAUAAUUUCUCUGCUCUUCUACUUUAUCCAAUGAUUUCUGAACUAUUUCUUUGUUCUUUCCAAUUUCAUCCUUUUCUAGAUCAAUAUCUUGUAUUUUCUGGACAAGUGCUGAUCUCUCUAGUUUGAUUGCUUCUCUCAUGUCUUCCAUUUGCUUUCUUUCUGUCAUGAUGUCAGACCUUAUCUUUUGCAGGUCUUUUCUUUCCUGUUCAAUCAUCUUCUUAUCAUUGUCCAUUUCAGUUUUCUCUUGUUCCAGUUCCCUUAUUAUCUGAUCGAGUUCUUCUCUCUCUAUCUUUGCUUUUACUCUCAUUUCUUCUUCUUUCUCUUUUUCUUUCAUAAUAUGUUCUUGCAGUGUGUUCAACUCUUGUAUUUUUAGUCUUAUGUCUUGUUGUUCCUGCUCAGCUUUAGUCUUCAGCUCCAGGAUCUUGACUUUGGUCUGUUCUAGACCUUUUCUUUCUUCUUCCAUCUCAUUCUGUUUCAUGAAAUCUUGUUCCUUCUGUUGCCUGGCUUGAGUAUCAAAUUCAUCAAUUCUCUGUUGUAACUCUGUCCAUUUAUGCUUUAUUUCUUCUCUUUCUUGUUCUAGAAGGUCUCUGCUGUUCUUCAUCUCUUGUUUUUGUUUAUCCAGAUCCUCUUUCUGUCUCUUUGUUUCUUCAGUGACACUCUCAAUGUCUUCCUUUUGCUUUUGUAGACAAGCUUCCAUUUCCUUCAGUGUUUCUCUCUCCUUCUUUAUUCCCUCGUCCAUGUAUUUGUUUUGUUCAGUUUGUUUUUGCAGCUCUGUCAUACUUUGAGCUAGAAUUAAUUUUUCAUCAGUGAUCUUUUGUCUUUCGAGGUCAAGUUCUUCUUUCUGGAGUUUAAUAUAAUUUCUCUGCUCUUCUACUUUAUCCAUUAAUUUCUGAACUAUAUCUUUGUUCAUUUCUGUCUCAUCCUUUUCUAGAUCAAUUUCUUGCAUUUUCUGGUCAAGUGCUGAUCUCUCUAGUUUGAUUGCUUCUCUCAUGUCUUCCAUUUGCUUUCUUUCGGUCAUGAUGUCAGACCUUAUCUUUUGCAGGUCUUUUCUUUCCUGUUCAAUCAUCUGCUUAUCAUCGUCCAUUUCUGUUUUCUCUCGUUCCAGUUCCCUUAUUAUCUGACCGAGUUCUUCUCUCUCUAUCUUUGAUUUUACUCUCAUUUCUUCUUCUUUCUCUUUUACUUUCAAAAUAUGUUCUUGCAGAGUGUUCAACUCUUGUAAUUGUUGGCUUAUGUCUUGUUGUUCCUGCUCAGCUUUAGUCUUCAGCUCCAGGAUCUUGACUUUGGUCUGUUCUAGACCUUUUCUUUCUUCUUCCAUCUCAUUCUGUUUCAUGAAAUCUUGUUCCUUCUGUUGCCUGGCUUGAGUAUCAAAUUCAUCAAUUCUCUGUUGUAACUCUGUCCAUUUAUGGUUUAUUUCUUCUCUUUCUUGUUCUAGAAGGUCUCUGCUGUUCUUCAUCUCUUGUUUUUGUUUAUCCAGAUCCUCUUUCUGUCUCUUUGUUUCUUCAGUGACACUCUCAAUGUCUUCCUUUUCCUUUUGUAGAUGAGCUUCCAUUUCCUUCAGUGUUUCUCUCUCCUUCUUUAUUCCCUCCUCCAUGUAUUUGUUUUGUUCAGUUUGUUUUUGCAGCUCUGUCAUACUUUGAGCUAGAAUUAAUUUUUCAUCAGUGAUCUUUUGUCUUUCGAGGUCAAGUUCUUCUUUCUGGAGUUUCAUAUAAUUUCUCUGCUCUUCUACUUUAUCCAUUAAUUUCUGAACUAUUUACUUUGUUCUUUCCAAUUUCAUCCUUUUCUAGAUCAAUAUCUUGUAUUUUCUGGACAAGUGCUGAUCUCUCUAGUUUGAUUGCUUCUCUCAUAUCUUCCAUUUGCUUUCUUUCUGUCAUGAUGUCAGACCUUAUCUUUUGGAGUUUCAUAUAAUUUCUCUGCUCUUCUACUUUAUCCAUUAAUUUCUGAACUAUUUCUUUGUUCUUUCCAAUUUCAUCCUUUUCUAGAUCAAUAUCUUGUAUUUUCUGGACAAGUGCUGAUCUCUCUAGUUUGAUUGCUUCUCUCAUGUCUUCCAUUUGCUUUCUUUCUGUCAUGAUGUCAGACCUCAUCUUUUGCAGGUCUUUUCUUUCCUGUUUAAUCAUCAUCUUAUCUUCGUCCAUUUCAGUUUUCUCUCGUUCCAGUUCCCUUAUUAUCUGAUCGAGUUGUUCUCUCUCUAUCUUUGCUUUUACUCUCAUUUCUUCUUCUUUCUCUUUUUCUUUCAUAAUAUGUUCUUGCAGUGUGUUCAACUCUUGUAUUUUUAGGCUUAUGUCUUGUUGUUCCUGCUCAGCUUUAGUCUUCAGCUCCAGGAUCUUGACUUUGGUCUGUUCUAGACCUUUUCUUUCUUCUUCCAUCUCAUUCUGUUUCAUGAAAUCUUGUUCCUUCUGUUGCCUGGCUUGAGUAUCAAAUUCAUCAAUUCUCUGUUGUAACUCUGUCCAUUUAUGCUUUAUUUCUUCUCUUUCUUGUUCUAGAAGGUCUCUGCUGUUCUUCAUCUCUUGUUUUUGUUUAUCCAGAUCUUCUUUCUGUCUCUUUGUUUCUUCAGUGACACUCUCUAUGUCUUCCUUUUGCUUUUGUAGACAAGCUUCCAUUUCCUUCAGUGUUUCUCUCUCCUUCUUUAUUCCCUCCUCCAUGUAUUUGUUUUGUUCAGUUUGUUUUUGCAGCUCUGUCUUACUUUGAGCUAGAAUUAAUUUUUCAUCAGUGAUCUUUUGUCUUUCGAGGUCAAGUUCUUCUUUCUGGAGUUUUAUAUAAUUUCUCUGCUCUUCUACUUUAUCCAUUAAUUUCUGAACUAUUUCUUUGUUCUUUUCAGUUUCAUCCUUUUCAAGAUCAAUCUCUUGCAUUUUCUGGUCAAGUGCUGAUCUUUCUAGUUUGAUAGUCUCUUUCAAGUGUUUUUCCAUUUGUUCUCUUUCUGUCAUUGUUUCAGACCGCAUCUUCUCCAGGUCUUCUCUUUCCUUUUUAAUCAUCUUCCUGUCGUUGUCCAUUUCAGUUUUCUCUUGUUCCAAUUCCCUCUUUAUCUGGUCAAGUUCUUCUCUUUCCAUCUUUGCUUUUACUCUCAUUUCUUCUUCUUUCUCCUUUUCUUUCAUUAUAUGUUCUUGCAGUGUGUUCAACUCUUGUAUUUUUAGGCUUAUGUCUUGUUGUUCCUGCUCAGCUUUAGUCUUCAACUCCAGGAUCUUGACUUUGGUCAGUUUUAGACUUUUUCUUUCUUCUUCCAUCUCCUCCUGUUUUAUUAAAUCAUUUUCCUUCUGUUGUCUAACUUGAGUUUCAAAUUCAUCAAUUCUCUGCUGUAACUGUAUCCAUUUAUUGUGUAUUUCAUCUUUCUCUUGCUCUAGAACCUCUCUGUAUUUUCUCAGCUCUUGUUUUUGUUCAUUUAUAUUUGUGCUCAUCAUUUCCAGAUUUUCUUUUCGUCUAGUCGUUUCUUCAGUGACACUCUCAAGUUCUUCCUUUUCCUUUUGUAAAAGAGCUUCCAUUUCUUUCAGCGUUUCUCUCUCUUUCUUUAUUACCUCUUCCAUGCAUCUGAUUUCUUCACUCUCUUUUUGCAGUUUAGUCUUUAUUUGAGCCUGAAGAUCUUUUUCAUCAUUGAUCUUUUGUCUCUCAAGUUCAUGUUUUUCUUCAUGGAGUUUAUUAUAAUUUCUCUGUUCUUCUACCUCAUCUAGUAUCUUCUGUACAAUUUCUUUGCUCUUCUCAAUGUCACAUUUUUCUAGAUCAGUCUGUUUUAUUUUGUUGUCAAGGUUUGAUCUCUCUUCUUCUAUUUGCUUUCUUUGUAACAUUAUUUCAGACCUCAUUUUCUCCAGGUCAUUUCUUCCCUGUUCAAUAAUAUUUCUGUCAUCAUAUAUUUUCUUCUGCUCAUGAUUUAUUUCAGUUUUCUGUCUUUCCAGAUCACUCUUCAUCUGAUCAAGUUCCUCUCUCUCCAUCUUUAGUUUUACUCCCAUUUGUUGUCUAUAUUCUUCAGAUUCAUUCCUCAUAUUCUCCAGAUCUCUUCUCUCCUCAUUCACAGCUCUUAUACUCUUCUCCAGGCUUUGCUGCUGUUGAUUAAUUUCAGCCUUUUCAGUCUGUAACUCAUAUUUGAUUUCUUCCAUUCCGUCUCUUUGUUUUUCUAAUGUCUUCCGGAGAACAUCCAGCUCAUUCCACUUCUUCAUAAUGUCCUCUUUUUCUUUCUCUAUUUCAUUUCUCUGUCUCAAGAUUUCACCAGCCUUUUCCUCAAGAAGCUUUUUCUCAUCAUCCAUUGAUCUUUUACUCAUCUCUUCUUUUUCUUUUUGUUCUGUCAUGUUCAUCUCCAGGUCAUCAGCUCGUCUUUGCAAUUCUUCUUUUUCCUUUUCAAUGUUAUUUCUCUCUUUUUCCAGAUGGUCUUUCUCAGUCUUAAUCAGUUGAUUUUGCUCUUCUAUGUCAUCAAUAGUCUUUUCUAGUUCACUUUUCUUCCUCUUAUUUUCUUCCAUGGUAUUGGCACAUUGAUCCAUCAUUUGUUUAAGGUGGGACUCCCUUAUCUCCAUAUUUUCUUGCUCUCUUUUGAUCUCUUCUAAGACGUUUUUCAGAUUUUCAGCAUCAUUCUGCAUCUCAGAUUUUGUCUGGUCAACCAGUUUUCUUUCCUUUUGGAGUUUUUCUGCUUCAGUUUGGAUCACUUCUUGUUGUUCCACCAGCUUGGCUUUCGUGAUUUCCAGAUCUUUCGUUAACUUGUUAAUCAUGUUCCUGUUUUCACCAAUGUCUUCUUUUUCUCUUUGUAUUUCAUCUCUCAGUUGUGAAAGUUCUUCUUCCUGCUUUGCAAUAGUCUUCAUGUCCUCUUGCAUUCUUUGUCUCUGAGCUUCUAGUUCAGUCCUCAACUUAUCCAUUUCCCUUCUUUCUUCCGCUAUCUCUCUUACACUUUGAUCCAGUCUUUGCUGCUGCUCAGUAAUAUAUUUCUCUCUCUGCUCCAGCUCAGUCUUCUGAAUUAUCACUCUUUGUCUCAUUGAUUCUAUUUCAUCAUUUACCAUAUUUAUAUCAGCUUUCUCUUUUUCAGUUUGUUCUCUCUCAGUAAGAAGCUCUAUCUUAAUUUUUUCCAGUUUUUCUCUUUCUUUCUCUAGCUCUUCUAACUGGACUUGAACCUGAUCUUUCUGUUGUGUAGUCCAGAUCUGCAGAUCAUCUUUUUUCCGCUUCAUUUCUAUAUUUUCAUUGUCUAUUUCAUGCCGUAUCUUCUUAAGCAACUCAAAGUCCUUAUUGAUUUCUUGUUUUUGCAGUUCUAUAUCAACCUGCAUCUCUUCAAGGGCAUGUUGUCUCGUAUUGGUUUCCUCAUGAACUUUAUCUAAAUGUUCCUGUUCAGUGUGAAGCUGAGCAGCAAUUCCAUCUAAUUCUAUAUUUCUCUUCUCUACUUCCCUUUCCUUCCUCUGUAUGUUUAGCUCUUUUUCAUCAAGAGCAUUCUGCUUGUCUUGCAUGAGUUGCUUUUGUAGUUUAAUUGACUGAAUCUGAUGGUGUAUUUCAGCUUGCAUUUGUUCAACCUUGUCUCUUUCUUUGUUGGUCAUGUAUUUUGUGUUUUCCAUUUCUUCUUUGGCCUUCUGAAGUAUUUGCUUCUCUUCAUUCAUUUUUAUGAUGUUAAGCUGCAAUAUCUGUUUCUGCUGUUCAGUUUCAAAUCUCUGUUUUUCCAGAUCUUCUCUCUCUUUUUUGUUUUCCUCACUGGUUUGAUCAUUCUGUCGCUGCUGGUUGAGUACCUCGACUUGCCGUUCCUCAAUGCUUGAUUUUUCCAUAAUAAGUUUGUUCUUCAAAAUUUCAUUUUCAUUUUGCUUGUUCUUUAUCUCUGCUCUUAAAGCUUCUAGUUUGUUUCUUAACGUCAUCAAGUUAUCCCUCUCUUCCUCUGUUUCUUGUUUUUCACGAAGAAGUUCUUCCUUCAUCUCCUCAAGGGCCAGUCUGUCCUUUUGUAUCUGCUCAAUCUGGCCCAUCAUUUGUUUUUCCAAGUCUUUCUUUUCUUUGUCAAUAUCUGUCUUUUCUUUGUCAAUUUCUGUCUUUUCCUUUUCAAGCAUCACUUUUGUUUUCUCAAUUUCUUGCUUUUGUCUCUCCAUCUCCUUUAUCAUCUUAUCAAGAUCCCUCAUUUUCAUUUCAGUCUCUUCAGACAAACAUUUAAUUUCUUCUCUGUCUUUAUCUAGUUGAACUUUAAUUUCUCUUUCUUUCUCCUUUAGGUUGGUGUCUAUUAUUAUCAUUUUAUCUGUUUGUAUCUUUAUCUCAGCUUUUGUCUUUUCAAGAUUAAAUUUAUCAUCUUGAAGUCGUUGAUUAUCCUUUUCGAUUUCUACUUUUGUUCUCUCCAGGUCAACCCUCAUUUGCAAUAAUUCUUCCAUUUCUUUAUCAUUAUUUUCUUUCUUACUUUUAAUGUCAUCUCUAAUUAUUUGCAACUCACUGUGAAGUUUGUUAGUUUCUUCCCUCUGUCUCUCUAAUUGUCUGAUUUCUUCCUCCACUCUUUGCUUUUCACCCUCAAUUUCCAGCCAGCAUUUCUCUUGAUCCUUUCUUUCCUUCUUGAUAACAUUUUGGAUCUCUUUGGAUUCUGCUCUUAUUUGUUCUAGUGCAUUCUUCUCAUCUUGUACAUUCAGUUUCUCAUGUCUUAGAUUUUGUAAUUGCUUCUCCAGAUCAUUUUUCAUGCUUUCAAGUUCAGCCUUCUCUUGAUCCAUCAACUUUUUGCUGAUUUCAAGCUGCUCUUUUUCUUUCUGUAUUUCUUCAGUCAGCUUUCGGUAUUCAUUGCAUUCUCUUGUAAUUGUUUCAUCCAUUUCCAUUAAUCGCUGUCUCUCCUCUUGAAUUUCGGCCUCCUUUCUUUCCAAAUUACUUUGAAUCUCCUUCUUGAUUUUAUACAUUUCAUCUUGAAUCUGUUUUAGCUGCUGCUGCUCUUCCAUGAAAGUUUUUACUUUGUUUUCAAGCUCACUUUCCUUUCUUUGCAGUUCUUCUCGAAGUGUAUCCAGUUUCUGUUUUUCUGAAUGUACAGUUUUCUUCUCUUUGUCAACAUCAUCUCUUUCCUUCAGAAUAUCCACCUCCAUUUGCUCUAGAGCCUCUUUGUGAUUUUGAAUCUCUUGUUUCGCCAUCUCAUCUUGUUCUUUCUGCUGUAAGGCUUUUCUUUCCAGGUCCUCUGUUUCUCUCACUAACACUUCCCUCUUAAGCUGCAGAUAUGUCAUUUCCCUUUCAUAAACAUCUCUGUCGUUUUUCAGUUGUAUCUUAUCAUCUUGAAGUUUUGCACUCAUUAUACUGAGAUCUUUCUUCUUGGUCUCUAUUUCGGUGAUGAUAUUCUCUAUAUCUUCUCUUUGUGUUUGAAGUUUUAAACUGAGGUCUGUUAAUCUGUCCCUCUCGUUGUUUGCUUCCUGAAUGAGUCUGUCAGUGAUCUCUGACUUCUUCUGAAGCUCAGCAUUCUCUUGUUCAAUCAAAUGUCUCUCUGUGCUGACCAUCUGCUUCAUUUCUUCCACUUGCUCUUUUUCUUUGUUUAGUUCACUCUUCAUCUCCUGUAGUUUCUCCUCCAUUUUUGUAGCAUCAUGGAGUUUUUCAUCAAGUUUAGCCCUCUCGUUUUCUAGUUCAUUCCUCGUCUUUUCUAGAUUUUUCAGUUCCACAUCGUAAGCCUUCAUGGCAGCACUCACUUCAUGCCUUUGUUGAUUGAUUUCAGCUUGUUCAUCUUUGAACCAAUCCUUCUCCAUGAUCAAAGCAUGUUUUGAAGAUUCAACAUCAACUCUCUGUCUGUGUAGUUCACUUCUAGAGAGUUCCAGUUCUUGCUUCUCUUGCCUUAAAUUGUCCAUUUCUUUUUCUAUAUCUUCUUGCUUCCUCAGUAUUUCCAUGUUGAUCUUUUCAAGUGUAUCUUUCUUUUUCUCCAUUUCUUCAACAAUCCAACUUUUCUCUUCCAACUCAUGUUUCUGCUUCUCCAGUAUCCGCUCUCCCCUCUUUACUUCAGAAGUAAUGCCUUCCAGUUCAGCCUUUUUCUUUUCAUGCAGGGUUUUCAUGUCUUCCAUGGUUUGCCAUUGGUUUUGUAUGUCUCUGUUGAGCUGUUCCAGAUCACGCUUGUUUCUCAAGAGUUCCUUAGUGACCAUUUGCAGUUCUUCCUUGUUCUUUCUUGUAUCCUUAAACUCUUCCAUUAUUUCUUUAGCUAUUUCUACCUUAACCAGCUCUCUUUUGGUCUCCACAUCCUCCUUUUCUCUGUUUAUCUCAUCCUUCAACUGCUCCAGUUCUUCUUUUUCUUUCUGCAGCAUUUCUCUCAUGUUCUCUUCCACCUGUUGCUUUUCUGCAAGUUCUGCUCUCAUCUUCUCCAAUUCAUUCUUAUCUCUUCUGGUGGUUUCUAUCUCUUUUCUAAGGCUUCCAAGAUUUUCCCGUAUUUGUCCAAUAUCUUGAAUGAGCCUCUGGAUCUCAGACUUGAAGUUUUCCUUUUCAUCUCUCACCAACUUACUUUCCUCCAUCCUGCUCUCCAUGUCAACUUUAAGAUUUCUCACCAUUUCCCUGAUUUUUACAACCUCUAAAAUUAGUCUUUGGAUGUCAGCAUUGGUGCUUUCCUCAUCUUCUAGAUUCACAGUUUUCUCCACCAAUAGCUCAAAAUCCUCUCUUGCACAUUGAACAUCAUUUCUGAGUAUUUCCAGCUCCUGCCGCUCUCUGUUGAUCUCCUCUCUUUCCUUUGCUAUCUCAGUCUUCAUUUUCUCCACCUCAUCCCUCUUUCUUAUCACUUGUUUCAUCUUCUGGUCCAGAUCUUUCUUUUCUAGGAAUAUUUCAGACCUUAAGACUUCCAGUUCUCCCUUCUCAUGCAUCAUUUUCUGAAUCCUUGUUUCUAGGACUUCUCUCUGGCUCUGUAUAUCCAUCAGCUCCACCUCUCUAGUGUCCUUUUCAUGUUGUAAUAUCUCAGACCUCAUGUUUUCUAGCUCAUCCAUCUGAUGUUUUAAGCCUGCUUUAGUUUUCUGAAGUUCUACCUGCUGUUUAUCCAGCUCAGCCUUCAACUCUGUUAGUUUGUCUAUUUGUCUGUUAAUUUCAUCUGUCUGACUCUCACUCUCUUCUUGCUGGUCAUCCAUGCUUAAUGAUUCCAUUUUCUUCCUUAAUUCCUCUGAAUCUCUCCUCAUUUCUUUCUCUUUUCUGGAAUGUUUAACUGUUUGUACUGUGUUUUCUCUAGUUGUUUCUUCUAGAAGGUUUUUGAGAAUUUCAUAUUGCUGCUUCAUGUCAACGAUUUCUUUGUUCAGAAGUUCAUUUUCGUCAUGAAGUUUUUGUUUGUCCAAUGCCAUUUCUUGUUUUUGUCUCUCCAAAUCAGCUCUGUUUUGCUCAAGAUCACUUCGCUCUUUGCUCAACAAGUCUUUGGUACUCUCAAUUUGCUGCUUCUCUUUUUGUAUCUCCUUGUUCUGUUGCUCAUAGGUUUCCUUCAUGCUAUGUUUCAUGGCUUCGACUUCCAGCCUCAUGUUCUCCAGUUCAAAUCGUUCAUUUCUAGCAGCCUUGACUUCAUCUUUCAUUCUUCUGAGAACCUCUCUGACAUGUUCAAUUUCCUGGAUCAGCCUCUGCAUGUAAGCACUCAUUUCUUGCCUUUCCUCUGAAUCCGCUUGAACAUUAACAUCUCUCUGCAUGCUUCUUUCCAGGUCAUGUUUUGUUCUCCAGGCCAUUUCCCUAGUCUUUUCAGCCUCUUGAAUAAGCCUCAGUAUCUUGGUGUUUAUUUGUUCUUUCUCUUCCAGAUCUCCACCUCUUUCUUCCGUAUGAGAUAGUAGUUCCUCUCCUGCUCGUUGUUUCUCAGCUUUCAUUCGCUCCAUGUCCUCACGCUCUAUACUUAACAUGACUCUGUCCAUUUCCAGUUUCUCAUUUGCACUUUCAAUAUCAGCUCUCAUUUUCUCCAGCUCAUCUCUCUUUCUCGCUGCCUGUCUCAUCUUGUGAUCAAGAUCUUUCCUCAUGCUAUCAGUUUCAUCCUGAAGAAGCUUCAAUUCUUUCAUCUCAUGUUUAGUCUUUUGCAUCUUGUCCUCUAAUUCAUCUUUCUGUUUGAGUAUUUCAGCUCUCAUACCAAUGAGUUCCUCUACUUGUGAUUGUCUUUUAGUCUCAAACUCUUCUUUUUGGAUUAAAAUAUUUGAUUUGAUCUCCUCAUAUUUCUCCAUUUCUUUUGUAGCCUCUCUCAACAUUUCAUCAUUUGCUUUUCUUUCUUUUGCUAACUUAGCUUUCAUUUGCUCUAGUUGAAUUCUUUCAUCUUGAAUAUCCUGUUUUUGAACUUUUAUCUCCUCUAAUUCUUUAUGUAGAUUUGAUUUAUUUUGUUCCAUAUCAUCUAUGUCUCGUUUCAGUUGCGUUCUGCUUUUCUCAGUCAAUUCCUUUUCAUCCAAAAGCUCUUUCCUCAGCUGUUCCACAUUUUCAAUGUCUUUCUUUAGUGUCUCCAUCAGCUGACGCUGCUCUAACAGUUCACCUCUUUCUCUCUCCAGGUCAUGUUUUUGCUUUAAGAUCUCCACACUUAUCUGAUCAAGACUAUCUCGCUUUUUCUGCAGGUCUGCACGUUUGAUGUCACUCUCCUCGGAUUGUCUUUUGAAAUCUUCCUUGGUUUUUUCCAGAUCCAUCUUUUCCUUUGUAACAAUUGCUUUGUCUACAGCAAUGGCUUGUUUUUGUCUUUGUAUCUCAGCUUGUAUUUCAUCCAGGGUGUCAUUUUUCAUUUUGAUCUCCUUAACAAAUUGUUGUCUCUCUUUUUCUAACUCUUCUGCAGUCCUCUGACCUUCUUUCUGAACUUCUAGCUUUAACUUCUUAAUAUCCUCUCUCUUCUUUUCCAGCUCAUCUUGUUCAUUUUUAAAAGCUUGUUUCAUAUUUUGGAGGUUUUCCAAGUCUCUAGCCAACUCGGCUCUCUUUUGUUCCAGAUUCUCAAAAUCAUCCUUUUCUUUUAUUAUGUUGCUUUUCAUGUCAUCCAUUUCUUUUUGUUUAUUUUGAAGUUCUGUUCUCAUUUGUUCUAGUUCACUCUCUUUGUGUUGUAAUUGUUCCUUCUCAUCUUCAAUUUGAGCUAUUUGUCUCAAGUUAUCUGUACUCAUUUGCUUCAGAAUGUCUUUAUCUGUCUGUAAGUCAGUUCUUUGUCUGUCUAGUUCUUCCAUGGCUUGGUUUAUCUCUGCCUUGGUUUUCUCCAGCUCAGAUCUUUCUUCUUGAAGCAAGUCUUUGGCAGACUGAAUAUCCUUUCUUUGUUUCUCUGUCUCAUCCAUGAGCUCUUCCGCCUGUUGGUAGUCCGCUGGAAUACCACUGACGUCUAAUUGCUUUUUAAAUUUGGCUGCCAUCUCUUCUGCCCUCCAUCUUUCAUUCUUUGUCUUCUCAGAUAGUUUCUCCAAGUCUUCAGCUUGUCUUUGAAGGUCGCUUUUCAUCCUCUCUAGUUCCUCCUUCUCAUUUUCAAAGGUGUGUUUCUCAACUUUUAGAUUCUUUAAUUCUUUCUCCAUAUCCAUUUUUUGCCUCUCCAUAAGAUCCAAAUUUUUGGUCAACACCUCUCUGUCUUUUUCAACCUGAUCCUUUUCCUCCAGUAAUUUUAGUCUCAGUUGUUCACAGGUCUCCUUUUCUUCCUCUAGACUGACCAUCUCUCUCUCUACAUUUCUCUUCUGUGCCAUCAUUUCCACUCUGUCUCUUUCUACGUUGGUCAUUUCUGUCUUUGUGAAUUCCAUUAGAUCAUCAACCUCUCGCUGUAAUAGAUCAACGUCAGUUUGUCUCUGGUCCAGUUGACUCAUUUCCAUCAUAAUUGUGUUUUUCAGUUCAUCCAUUUCAUCCUGUUGUUGUAAAAUGGUUUCCUGCAGCUUUGCAAGUUCACUUUCUCUGCGAGAAAGGCUUUCAUUCGCUUUUUGAAUAGUAUCCACUUGUUUCGAGAUGUUCGCCCUCAUUUCUUCAAGAGCGUCUCUCUCUGUCCGCAUCUCUUUUAUUGACAUCUCAUUCCUUUCUUGCUGUUCUGCAAGAAGUUUGUUGGCUUUAGCAAUUUCUGUUUUGAUUUUCUCUAAAUCAGUCUUCUCCAUUUCAAACUCAGUUGCUUGCUUUUGUUGAUUACAUUUUUGGAUAUUAAUCUCCUCAUUAAGGCUUUCAAGAUUUCUUCUCUCUUCCUGAAGUUGAGCUGACAUUUCUUCUAGCUUCUGUCUUUCAUUGUGCAUGUCCUGCUUUUCCUUUUCAAUGUGUUCAGCUUCCCUUUUCAGUUCAGCUCUCAUCUGUUCCAGUUUGUCCUUUUCAUCUUGAAUAAACGUCUUCUCUAACAUCAUCUCCUGUUUAUGAGGUAAAUCCUCAGCCUCAGGUAAGUCUGACUUUUGGCUCUCAACAUCUGUUUCUAAUGCAUCUUUUAAGUCCAUUUCCAGCAUCUGCUCCAUCAAGACACAUUUCCCAUCUGAAUCUGACAUUUCUUUGUCUGUUAAGGAUUUGACUGCAUCCACGUCACUCUUUUGAAGAAACAUUUUAGCCUCUGACUUCUCAAGUAGACUCUCUUCUGUUAUGCCAAAUCUCAGGUGAUCAAUAUUUUCUUGUUUUCUUUUGAUGUCUGCCCGCAUUCUUUCAAGAUCUUCCUUUUCUAUUUGCAACUCUUGCUUUUCAUCUUCAAGUGCCAUUUUUUCUCUUCUUAUAUUCCCAAUCAUCUGUUCAAGCAUGUUUCUCUCUUCAUGCAUCUCUGCCAGUGUGAUCUCAAUGUUUGUUUUUUGUUCAGAAAGCUGUUUUUCAAGCUCUUCCUUGGUUUGAGACAUCUCAGCUUUGGUUUUCUCUAGGUCAGACCGUUCCCUUCUAAUCAAGUCUUUGCCUCUCACCAUUGCUUCUUGUUCCCUUUGUAUUUCAGUAUAGCUUUCAUCCAGAAUACCUCCCUUCUUUUUAAUUUCCUCCAUGAGAUCACUGAUUUCUUUCCUCUCUUUCUGGAGUUGAGCUGUCAUUUCCUCCAGUUUUUGUCUUUCAUCUUGUGUUUUUAAUUUGAUCUUCUCGAACUCUUGUGUCUCUCUUUGCAGGUCAGUUUUGAUCUUUUUUAUUACUUCCUUCUCAUUCUCCAAAGCUUCUCUCUCAUGUUUCAGACUCUCUGAGUCUCUGUCUACAUUAACUAGUUUUUGUUGCAGAUCUUCCAUGUCUCUCUUCAGCAGUUGUUUUUCAUUUUUCAGUAUUUCCUGAUUAGUCAAUACCUCCUUCAUCUGAAGCUCAACAUCUUCAGACUUCUUUCUCAGCUCAGUCAUCAUGUCCUGUUUUUCUCUGAUCAUUGCAGCUUUUUGAGUUUCAGCAAUGCUCUUUUCAUUCUUUGCGAUCUCCACAAUGUCAUGCAGCUCCUUCUGUUGUAUUUCUAUUUCAGUCUCUCUGAGAUCAAGCUGCUGCUUCUCAGUCAUGAUGAUUUCUUUGAGGUUUUUCAAUUCACAUUGUUGUUUUUGAUUCUCUGCUUGUAGUUGCUCUAGUUCAUCUUGUCUGAUUUUAUUUUGUCUUUCUCAUUUUCAAGAUCAUCAAUUUGUUUGGAGAUGUUCAGUCUCAUUUCCUUAAGGUUGUUUUUCUCUCUUUGUAGAUCUGCCAUUGAAGACUCACUUGCAGCUUUCAUUUCAUCCAGAAUCUCAUGUUUUCUCUUUGUAUCUUCAGCAAGAUGAACAAUAUUUUCUUUCUCUUUCUCAAGUUCUUCAGCCAUCUUUUCCAAACUCUGUCUCUCAUUUUGUGUUUCUUCUUUGAGCUUUCUGAUAUCAUCAGCUUCUCUUUGCAGAUCAAUCUUCAUCUGUUCUAACUUGUUCUUCUCAUCUUCAGUCACUUGUUUUUGAAGUGUCAUGAUCUUUAGGUCUUCAGUCAGAUCUUUUCUACUUUGGUCUACAUCAUCUCUUUCUUUCUUCAGUUGCUGUUUCUGUUUUUCAAUCUCUUUGUUUUAUCUUUAUCUAGUUGGCUUCUCUCAUUUCUCAUUUUUUCCAUAAUGUCACUCACUUCUGUCUGUUGUUUGUCUAGCUCAGACUGUCUCAGAUCAAGCUGACUUCUGUCUUUUAUUAUAAUAUUUCUGUCAUUGUCUAGUUCCUGUUUCUGAUUCUGAAUUUCAGUUUUCAGUUGUUCGAGUUCAUGUUGUUUUUGUCUUAUUUGUUCCUCUUGAUUUUUAAUUUCAUGUAUUUGUCUUGUGAUGGUCUCAUUCAUCUCCUUUAGGUUGUCUCUCUCUUUCUGUAUCUCUGCCUGUAUGAUUUCUUUCUCUUCUGCUUGCUCAGCAAAUAGUUUUUCAAGAUCUUCUUUGAUUUUAGCAAUUUCAUGUUUGGUUUUCUCCAAUUCAUGUUUUUCCUUUUCAAUCAUGUCUCUAUCAGAUUGAAUGGCUUUAGUUUUCACUUCAAUUUCUGUGUUCAUUUCAUCCAAGACCAUGUCUCUUCUUUUGGUCUUCUCAAAGAGGCUUUCAGUUUCUUCUCUCUCUUUCUGGAGUUGAGCUGUCAUUUCCUCCAGUUUUUGUCUUUCGUCUUGUGUUUGUAGUUUGAUCUUCUCGAACUCUUGUGUCUCUCUUUGCAGGUCAGUUUUGAUCUUUUUUAUUACUUCCUUCUCAUUCUCCAAAGCUUCUCUCUCAUGUUUCAGACUCUCUGAGUCUCUGUCUACAUUAACUAGUUUUUGUUGCAGAUCUUCCAUGUCCCUCUUCAGCAGUUGUUUGUCGUUUUUCAAUAUUUCCUGUUCAGUCAAUAGCUCCUUCAUCUGAAGCUCAACAUCUUCAGACUUCUUUCUCAGCUCAGUCAUCAUGUCCUGUUUUUCCCGGAUCACUGCAACUCUUUCACUUUCAAUGUUGUUCUUUUCCUUUUUCAUUUCAUUUUGUUGUUUAUGAAUCUCUGCUUGUAGUUGCUCUAGUUCAUCUUGUCUCAGUCUUAUUUUCUGUUUGUCAUUUUCAAGAUCAUCAAUUUGUUUUGGAGAUGUUCAAUCUCAUUUGCUCAAGGUUGUUUUUCUCUCUUUGUAGAUCUGCCAUUGAAGACUCACUUGCAGCUUUCAUUUCAUCCAGAAUCUCAUGUUUUCUCUUUGUAUCUUCAGCAAGAUGAACAAUAUCUUCUUUCUCUUUCUUAAGUUCUUCAGCCAUCUUUUCUAAACUCUGUCUCUCAUUUUGUGUUUCUUCUUUGAGCUUUCUGAUAUCAUCAGCUUCUCUUUGCAGCUCAGUCUUCAUCUGUUCUAACUUGUUCUUCUCAUCUUCAGUCACUUGUUUCUGAAGUGUCAUCAUCUUUAUGUCUUCAGUCAGAUCUUUUCUACUUUGGUCUACAUCAUCUCUUUCUUUCCUCAGUUGCUGUUUCUGUUCUUCCAUCUUUUGUUUUUCUUCAUCUAGUUGGCUUCUCUCAUUUCUCAUUUUUUCCAUAAUGUCACUCACUUCUGUCUGUUGUUUGUCUAGCUCAGACUGUCUCAGAUCAAGCUGACUUCUGUCUUUUAUUAUAAGGUUUCUGUCAUUGUAUAGUUCCUGUUUCUGAUUCUGAAUUUCAGUUUUCAGUUGUUCGAGUUCAUGUUGUUUUUGUCUCAUUUGUUCCUCUUGAUUUUUCAUAUCAUGUGUUUGUCUUGUGAUGGUCUCCUUCUUCUCCUCUAGGUUGUCUCUCUCUUUCUGUAUCUCUGCUAGUAUGAUUCCUUGCUGUUCUCUUUCUUUUUCUAGAUCCUCCUUUGCUUUAGCAAGUUCAUGUUUCAUUUUCUCGAGAUCAUGCAUUUCCUUCUCAAUCAUGUCUCUAUCAGAUUUGAAUUUCUUUCAUUUUAACUUGAAUUUCUUUGUUCUUUCCUUUGGUCUCCUCAAUAAGAUCAUUGAUUUCUUUUCCUCUCUUUCUGGAGUUGAGCUGUCAUUUCCUCCAGUUUUUGUCUUUCAUUUGUGUUUGUAGUUUGAUCUUCUCGAACUCUUGUGUCUCUCUUUGCAGGUCAGUUUUGAUCUUUUUUAUUACUUCCUUUUCAUUCUCCAAAGCUUCUCUCUCAUGUUUCAGACUCUCUGAGUCUCUGUCUACAUUAACUAGUUUUUGUUGCAGAUCUUCAUGUUUCUCUUCAGCAGUUGUGUAUCAUUUUUCAAUAUUUCCUUUUCAGUCAAUAUCUGCUUCAUCUGAAAGCUCAACAUCUUCAGACUUCUUUCUCAGCUCAGUCAUCAUGUCCUGUUUUUCUCUGAUCAUUGCAGCUUUUUGAGUUUCAGCAAUGCUCUUCUCAUUCUUUGCGAUCUCCACAAUGUCAUGCAGCUCCUUCUGUUGUUUUUCUAUUUCAGUCUCUCUGAGAUCAAGCUGCUGCUUCUCAGUCAUGAUGAUUUCUUUGAGGUUUUUCAUUUCACUUUGUUGUUUUUGAUUCUCUGCUUGUAGUUGCUCUAGUUCAUCUUGUGUGAGUCUAAUUUUCUCUUUCUCAUUUUCAAGAUCAUCAAUUUGUUUAGAGAUGUUCAAUCUCAUUUCCUCAAGGUUGUUUUUCUCUCUUUGUAGAUCUGCCAUUGAAGACUCACUUGCAGCUUUCAUUUCAUCCAGAAUCUCAUGUUUUCUCUUUGUAUCUUCAGCGAGAUGAACAAUAUCUUUCUUUCUCUUUCUCAAGUUCUUCAGCCAUCUUUUCUAAAUUCUGUCUCUCAUUUUGUGUUUCUUUUUUGAGCUUUCUGAUAUAUCAGCUUCUAUUUGCAGCUCAAUCUUCAUCUGUUCUAACUUGUUUUUCUCAUCUUCAGUCACUUGUUUCUGAAGUGCCAUCAUCUUUAGUUCUUCAGUCAGAUCCUUUCUUCGUUGGUCUUCAUCAUCUCUUUCUUUCUUCAGUUGCUGUUUCUGUUUUUCAAUCUCUUCUUUGUCUUUAUCUAGUUGGCUUCUCGCAUUUCUCAUUUUGUCCAUAAUGUGACUCACUUCUGUCUGUUGUUUGUCUAGCUCAGACUGUCUCAGAUCAAGCUGACUUCUGUCUUUUAUUAUAAUAUUUCUGUCAUUGUCUAGUUCCUGUUUCUGAUUCUGAAUUUCAGUUUUCAAUUGUUCGAGUUCAUGUUGUUUUUGUCUCAUUUGUUCCUCUUGAUUUUUCAAAUAACGUGUUUGUCUUGUGAUGGUCUCCUUCUUCUCCUCUAGGUUGUCUUUCUCUUUCUGAAUCUCUGCUAGUAUGAUUCCUUGCUUUUCUCUUUCUUUUUCAAGAUCCUCCUUUGCUUUAGCAAGUUUCCUUUUGAUUUUCUCAAGAUCGUGCAUUUCAUUCUCAAUCAUGUCUCUAUCAAAUUGAAUUUCUUUCAUUUUAACUUGAAUUUCUUUGUUCAUUUCAUCCAAGACCAUAUCUUUCACUUUUUUCUUCUCAGUAAGAUCAUUGAUUUCUUCUCUCACUUUCUGGAGUUGAGCUGUCAUUUCCUCCAGUUUUUGUCUUUCAUCUUGUGUUUGUAGUUUGAUCUUCUCGAACUCUUGUGUCUCUCUUUGCAGGUCAGUUUUGAUCUUUUUUAUUACUUCCUUCUCAUUCUCCAAAGCUUCUCUCUCAUGUUUCAGACUCUCUGAGUCUCUGUCUACAUUAAUUAUUUUUUGUUGCAGAUCUUCCUUGUCUCUCUUUAACAGUUGUCUAUCAUUUUCCAACAUUUCCCUUUCAGUCAAUAUCUGCUUCAUCUGAAGCUCAACAUCUUCAGACUUCUUUCUCAGCUCAGACAUCAGGUCCUGUUUUUCCCUGAUCUCUUUUUGCAGAUUUUCUAAUGUGGACUCAUGUAAUACUUUCAUUUCAUCAAGAAUCUCAUUCUUUCUCUUUGUAUCUUCAGCAAGAUGAACAAUAUCUUCUUUCUCCUUCUGAAGUUUUUCAGCCAUCUUUUCCAAACUCUGUCUCUCAUUUUGUGUUUCUUCUUUUAGCCUUCUCAUAUCUUCAGUUUGUCUUUGCAGCUCAAUCUUCAUCUGUUCUACGUCAUCCUUCUCAUUUCGAAUAGCUUUUUUAUGAUAUUGAAGCUCCUUUAUCUCUCUGUCUAGGGCUGCUCUUUUUUCAUUUAUGUCAUUAUUCAGUUCUGCCUUCAAGAGCUCCAGUUCAGUCUCCAUUUGGUGUUUCUGUGUUAGCAUUUCAGACUUCUCUUUUUCAAUAUAAGCCCUUUCUCCUGUUGUAAAUGCCAUGACUUCAUUUACCUUUCUCUGUUUUUGAUCUAUUUCAGUUUUCUUCUUUUCAAGUCUGUCUUUUUCCAUUGUGAGAGCUUUUCGUGAGGCUUCCAUUUCAUCUUGCUGCCUAUAAAUUAGAGCUUGGAGUUGUUCAAGUUCAGUCUGUCUCAUACUCAUUUGUUGUUUCUCAUUUGCAAUGUUGUCCUGUUGCUCUGAAAUACUAUCUCUCAGUAAAAGAAGCAUGUCUUUUUCUUUCUGUAUUUCUGCUAGUGUGAUCUUGUUCUUUUCUCUUUCUUCAACGAGCUGGGUUUCAAGAUCCUCCUUCGCUCUUGCUAUAUCUGUCAUCACCUUCUGCUCAUCUAUCUCUGUUUGCUCUUUCUGAAUUUCCAUUUUUAGACUUUGCAGCUCCGCUUGUUGGUAUCUUGUUUGUUCAAUGUCGUUUUCUAGAUCAUCUCUCUGUUGUGAUAUGUUCAUCCUUAACUGCUCAAGAAUGUGUUUCUCCUUCUGUAUCUCUGCCAGUGUUAGCUCAUUUUGUCUUUUAUGUGAUUCAAUUUGGUUCUCAAGAUCUUCUUUGGCUCUGGCUAUCUCUGCUUUAGUUUUCUCCAGGUCAGAUUUGUCCUUUUUAAGAGUGUCUCUAUCAGAUUCAAUUGUUUGUUUUUGUUUUCUUAGAUCUCCUUCCUCUGAUCUUAUUCUGGCAAAAGAAAUCUCUAUAUCUUCCUUCUCUUUUUGAAGGAUGAUCGCCAUUUCCUCAGCCUUCUGCCUGCCAUUUUCUAUGUCUUGCCUUAGUUUAGCAAUAAUUUCCUUUUCUUGUUGGAACUCAUUUUUCAUCUUAUCAAAUUCCUGCUUUUCUUUGCCAGUCAAUUGUUUCUGGUAGUUUAAGGUCUCAAACUCCUCAGCUAAGAUGGUUCUAUUUUCUUUUAUAUCCUCCAGAUCUUUGUUCAGUAUUUGCCUGCUGUUUUCAAUAGAUUCUUUUUCGUGGAGAACUUCUUGCUUCAUCAGCUCCACUGUUUCACUUUCCCUCUUCAGUUCUACUGCAAUGCCAUUCACUCUUUGUCUUUCUUCCAUUACAUUAGUCCUCUCUUUUUCAAGUCUGUCCAUCACACUCUCUAAUUCUCUCUUUUGCUUUUCCAUUUCAGCCUGUCUUUCAUUAAGCUGACUCUUUUCUUUCAUGAUAACAUCCUGAAUCUCUUCUAUUUCUUUCUGUUGUGCAUGAAGUUGUGAUGUUUGUAUAUUCAGGUCAUUUUCUUGGUGUCUCAAACUUUCCUUCACUAUUUUAAUACCAUGUUCCUCUUGUGAAAUGUUCAUCUUCAUUUGCUCAAGGGAAUUUCUCUGCUUCUCCAUCUCUAACCGAUCAAUAUCAUUCAUUUUUCUCUUUUCAGCAAGAUCGUCUUUUGCUCUCGCUAUGUCUCUUUUGCUUUUCUCCACUUCAAACUUCUGGUUUUCUAAUACAUCUUUUUCAGUCUCAAUGUCUUGCUUUUGUUUUUCUAGCUCAAGGCGCAUCCUCUCUAGAGCUUCUUUUCUGUAAUUUCCCUCAUGUUGAAUUUGAGCUGCCAUGUCUUUUAUACUCUGCUUUUCAGCUACCACCUCUUUCUUUAGUCUCUCAGUAUUGUCAGCCUCUUUCUGAAGGUCAGCUCUUAUCUGCUGUAUCUCUUUCUCAAACGAUUGCCUCUGAAACUGCAAGUUUUCAAAUUCUUUGUGCAGUUUGGCUUUAUUUUUCUCUAUGUCUUCCUCAUCCAUUUCUAGUGAUUUCAUCCGGCUUUCAAAUACUUCUUUUUGCUCAAUUAAAUAUCUCUUUUGGAGCUCCACAUUUUCAUAUGCCACCCUCAGUUCUUCUCUCAAAUUCUCCAUUUCCUGUCUCUCUUUCUCCAGAUCUGUCGCGUCUCUAUCUCUUGCAGUCUUAACGUAUUCUAUUUUUUCAUGUGCAACUGUCCAUUGUUGAUCUUGGUCAGCUUGCAUCUGCUCAACUUGCAUCUUUUCCAUUCUUAAACUGCUCUUUAACUCAUCUAUUUGUUUUUGUUUGUUUUCAACCUCUGCUUCUUUUUGUUUCAGUUCAUUUUCUCUCUGUCUUAAAUUUUCUUUAUCACUUUCAACGAUGCACCUUUGAUUUGAGAUGGUUUCACUCAUCUGGGUAAGAUUGUCUCUUUCUUUCUCUAUAUCUGCCAGUAUAAUAAUGUUCUGUUCUUUUUGCUGAGCAAAUUCAUCUUUGAGAUCUCUGAGCUUAGACUUUUCCUGUUCUAGCACAUCUCUCUCAGACUCAACAUAUCGCUUUUCUUUUUCAACCUCCAUGUGCAUCUCAUCCAGAGCUUUGGACCUCUUUUCAAUCUCUUCACCUAGACUAUCAGUGUAUUGUCUUUCUUUCUGAAUUUUGGCUUCUAUAUCUUUUACGUUUUGUAUGUCAUUCUGAACAGCUUGUCUUACAUUUUCAAUGACACCGGCUUCUUUUUGCAGAUCAGCUUUCAUGCCCUUCAAUAUCUCAAAUGCAUUUUCCUGCUUUUCUACAUCAGCUUUCAUUUUAUCCAGUUCCUCUAUCUGUCUUUUUGUCUCUUCUGAAAGGCUCACAAUGGCAUCUCUCUCUUUCUGAAGUUGCACAGCGGUGUUUUUAAGCUUCUGUCUUUCAGCUAGUGUAUCUUGUCUUAGCUUCUCAGUAUCUUCAGCUACUUGUUGCAGCACAGAUUCAGUCUGUUGCAACUUGCUUUUCUCUUCUGCAAUACUUUGUCUUUGUAAUUUUAUCUCCUCUGCCUGACUACCCAAAUUGAUUUUCUUCUGCUCCAGAUCUUCUAUAUCUCUCAGUAAAACUAUUCUGCAGUCCUCAAUAAGUCGCUUCUCAUUUAGUACCUCUAUUUUCACAAGCUCCACAGUUUCUAGUUCUCUGUUUAAUGUAUCUGUCAAGUUACUCUCCAUCUGCUGCUUCUGUUCCAUUAUAGCUGCCCUUUCUCUGUCAAGAUUGCCUUUUUCAUUUUGUGUGAACUGCCUGAUGGCUUCCGCCUGUUUUAGCUUUUCGGCUAUUUCAUCAUGGCUUUUCUGAAGUUGACUUUUUUGCAUUAAAACUAUAUUCUGAAUAUCCUGCACUUCUUUUUGUUGUCUGUUAAGAUCAGCCUGCAUUUGCUGCAGUUCAUUUUCUCUCUGCUUUAUUUCCUCCUUCUCAUUCUCAAAAUCAUCUUUUUGCUGUAAAAUGAGUACAUUUAUUUUCUCAAGUGUGUCUCUCUCCUUUUUGAUCUCCUUCAGUGUCCGCUCAUUCUCCUCUCUCAGGUUCUCUAGAUCGUUCUUUUCUCUCGCUAUUUCUGCUUGUAUCUGUUGCAUAUCACACCUUUUCUUUUCUAGUUCCUCCCUCUCUUGUUUAAGCUGCUCUGCCCAUUUCUUCAUGUUCUGUCUUUCUUUCUGCACAUCCUGUUUUAACCUUUCGAUAUCACUAGACUCUUUUUGCAGCUCAUAUUUCAUGUUCUGUAACAUUCCCUUUUCAUCCUCUAUCCUUUUUCUCUGAGCUUCUAUGUCUUCUAGUUCUUUAGCAAAAGUGUCUUUUAGGUCGGCCUCCAUGGUUUGCUUUUGUUUUUCUAUAUCCUGUCGAAUGUGAUUUAGAACAUCUCUGGCAUUUUCUAAUUCUGUUCUUAUCAUGUAUUCUUUUUCUCUGCUUUCUGUAAUCUCAGCCUGCAGGUCAUCCCAUCCUUUCUGUAUUUCUAGCUUUGUCCUUUCCACCUCAUCUUUUGUUCGUUCUAGCUCCUGUUUUCGCAGCUCUAAUUGUAACUCUAUGUCUGCUGUGUUUUUUGUAGCAGUUUGCAGUGCGGCUUCUUUGAGUGAUAAUUCAUCCUUGCUCAGUUUUAUUUCUGCCAGUUGUCUCUCAAUUGUACUUUUUUGUGCAAGUAAGUCUUCUUUAAAAUUCUCCAGAGCUUGUCGCUCUUUAUCCAGCUCCUCCAUAGUCAAGCUCAUCUGAUAUUUUCCUACAUCCUCCAUCACAUCAGUUUGGACUUGUACAUCAACUUGUUUAAUCUCCAUCAAUCUUGCCUUUUCUAAUUCACAUUUCUCUCUCUGUAGAUUUACGUCCAUACUCUCUAGUUCUUGUUUUCUUUGAUCUAGCUGCUUCUUCUCUUUCCAUAUUAUAUCUAAACCUCUCCGGUUUUCUUCUCUCUCUGAUUGCAGCAGUCUUUCCCAGUUUUGUAGACCCACUCGUUUCUUUUCCAUCUCAAUUUCCAUCUCUUGUAAUUUUGUCAUCCUCUCUUCAGCUUCAUUCUUUAUCGCUCGUACAUCCUCCUUUGUUUUCUCUAGUUCAUGUUUCUCUUUUAAAAUUAUUUCUUUAUAUUGUUCCAGUUCUUGUCUUUCUUUCUGUAUAUCACUCACAAAGUCUUCCACUUUAAUGGCAGCUGCUUCUUCUGUUUUUGCAUACUCCUGGCUCUCGGUUGGAAUGAUGGCUGGUUGAACCUGAAAUAAAUGGUUCUUGUUUGCAUUUGCAUCUCUGUCCCAAUAUUUUUUUUAGAUAUACUAUGUAGGCAGUAUACAGUUAUUCUGAACACAGUUCAUGAUCAACUUACUUUUCACAAUCUUGAGUAAAAAUUCAGUUUAAAUCCCUUUUAGCAUUUUAUACAACUUGAAAUGUUGACCCUAUUUACUUUCUUAAUACGUGUGUAUAAUUCAUUGUCAAGUCUUUGUCUAAUUCUUUUUCUCUUGUUUCACUCAAGAUUGUCAUGUUUAACUGUAAUAAGUUGCAUCCUUGCAAAAUAGGUUACGGAUGCUUCAUGUUGACUUUAAGAGUCCAUUUGCUGCCGUCAAUAUUGAUAAAGCAGAUAAAAUAAUGACACUGUUCAAUGCAAGUAAAUUAUGACUUACCUUUUCUUUGCCUGUCUUUUCUAGAGCAGUGAGUUCUUUCUGUCUCUUUAUCUCUUCUUUGGCCUGUGCUAUGUCCUCCAAAGCAUUUUUCACAUCUUCUCUCAUCUGCUCCAUCAUAUCAUUCUCUUUAAUGGUCUCCUCCAGCCUCUCCUCCAGUUCUUGUCUUUGUCGCUGCACCAUAUUUCUCACGAGUUCUAGUUCAUCUCGUUCUCUCAUAAUCCUUUCUUCUCUAUAUUCAAUCUCUCUUCUCCUUCGUUGAACUUCAUUCUUCAAUAGCCUCAUCUCAUCCCUGUCUCUCUUCAUCGUUUCCUUGUUGUAUUCUACCUCAGCCUUAAGACCUCGCAGCAUUUCCCGGAUGUGUUCAAUCUCCAAAAUGAGCCUGUGCAUCUCAGCAUUCAUCUCCUCUUGGACUGUUGUCUCCAUCUGACUUCCUGCCAUUCGACUUUCAAUCUGGAAUUUUGCUUUCCGCACCAUUUCUCUCGUCCCCUCAAUCUGCUGAAUAAGACUGAUUAUUGUGAGGUUCAUCUGUCCUUUCUCUUCUUCUAAAUCUCUCUCCUCCAUCCUAAGUUCAAACUCCUCUCUCGCUCUUUGGAUUUCAGCUUUAACUUGCUCCAUUUCAUAUUUCUGCCUCUCCGUCUCCACUCUUUUCUGUUCCAUCUCAUCUUUUGCCCUUUGUAUCUCCAUCCUCAGUCGUUCCAUCUCAUCCUUCUUCCUCAUGGUCAGUUUCAUCCUUUGGUCAAGUUCUUUCUUCUUCCCUUCCAUUUCUCUCUUCAUCAGCUCCAUUUCUCCAAUCUCUCGUUUGGUUUUCUGCAUCCUUUCCUCCAGCUCUUCUCUUUGUCUUUGUAUUUCCUCUUUGACAAGCUGCAUUUUGUCCAUCUCUGCUUUUGCUAGCUCCAUUUUCCUUUCAACAUCCUCUUUUUGUUUUAAGAUCUCAGUCCUCAUCAGUUCCAUCUGGUAUCUCUCACUUUUUGCUUCCAUCAUCUGGAUUUCAAUAUCUUCUUUCUGUUUUUGGAGGUCUGCUCUCAUCUUUUCAAGAUGAGUCAUUUCCAGCCUUGCCUUCUCCAUCUUUACGUCGAUGUCCUCCUUCUGUUUUGUUAACUCCAUCUUCAUGUCUUCAAUAUCACCCAUCUCCUUCUUCAUAGCUUCCAUCUUCCUCAUCAUCUCCUCCUUCUCCCUGUUCAUCCUUUCACAUUCCUCAGGCUCUCCCUUUUCAGCCUCAUCCCACAACCUCUCUAUCUCCGCUCUCACCCUGUUAAUCUCAUCCUUGACCUCUUCAUAUGUGUCUUUCCCUCUCAGCGUUUCCAAACGGAUCUUCUCCAGAUCUUCUCUCUCGUCCUCCAUGUCCUCUCUCAUCUUCCUCAAGGUGUCCUCUCGUCGUUUUGUCUCCUCUAACCUUUUAUUCACUUCCUCUCUUUGUUCCUGGAUCUCAAUCAUAAGGCGUUCAGCUUUCACUCUAUCUUGUUGCGCUAACUCUCUGCUUCUGUUCAUGAUCUCUGUGUCCAGAAAUAGCUGAGUCUUGAUCUUCUCAAGUUCUUCUCUUUGUCUCUGCACUUGAGCACUCUGUUCUACAUCAUAUCUCAUCAUUUCAUACCUUUGUUUUUCUAGAUCUUUCUUGUCGUUCUGGACCUGAACUCUAAUCUGUUUGAGUUCCUCUCUCUCCUUGUCCAUCUCAGCUAAACGCUUUUCCUGAUCUUCCUUGUCCUUCAACGCAGCUGUUUUCAGUUGCUCAACAAUCUCUUUCUCUUGCUGUGUAUCCUCCAGCAUUUUCUGCAGGUUUUCUUUUUCAGAAUACCUCAACUUUUCUAGCUCAUGUCUGGCUCUUUGUAUCUCUUCAUUUAUUUGUUCUAACUCCUCUGUUUUUUUGUGUAUUUCAUCUCUUUGCUCCAAUGCCUCUGUUAUGGUUUCAUACCGUCUCUUUUCUGACUCUUCCAUUUGCUUUUUUAAGAGCAUCUCAGCCUCUUUGACUCCAAGUUUGGCAUGGUUUGCCUCCUCCUUUUCUUGUUUUGCAACUCUAAUCCUGUUCUCUAUUUCUGCCUUUUGUUUUUGUAGCUCAUUUCUCAUGCUUUUGAUUUCAUCUGCUUCUUCUUUAGCCUUUUCGCUGCUUUUAGUAAUCUCUCCUCGCUCUUUCUCCAUCUGUUCUAUCAUUUUUGUCAACUCCUCUCUCUUUGCUUUAGCCUCAUCCAUCUGUUUGAUAGCGGCAAGUUUGUCGUCUUCUGCCUGAAGCUUUAUUUUUUCAAGACUGUCCUUCCACUGCAUGAGCUCCAUCCUGCUCUCCUCAAUGUUUUUCUGCGAUCUUUGGACCUCGUCCCUUAAUUUUUCCAGUCUUUCCAUCUCAUGCUGAGUUUUCGCUCUGAGUUCAACUUCCUCUUUCUCUGUUUCAUGCCACCUGUUCUCCAUUUCCUCCUUCACCCUGAGGAUUUCACUUCUGAGGAACUCACACUGUUCGGUCUCUCUUUUCACCAAUUCUCUCUUUCGUUCCAGCUCCUCCCGCUCUUCCUCCAACUCAGCCUUUGUCUCCUCCAUUUGUUCUUUUGUUUUUUGGAUCUCCUCAAUUUUCUUCUCAAUAUCUUCAAUCUGUCCUUGAAUUUCAGUCUUCAUUUUUUCCAUUUUCUCAUUUUCCCGGAUUGUGACUUCUUGGCUGUUCUCAAUAUCCUCUUUGGCUCUGUCUAUCUCAUGUUUAAUUCUUUCUAACUCUUGUCUCUCCCUCAGCAUCUCCUCUUGUCUUCGGUUCAAGCUGUCUUUUUCAGCCUUGAUCUCUGCUUUGAUUAGUUCUGUCAUUUCUCUUUCUUGUCUGGCUUCUUCUCUUAUCUUAAAACUUUCUUCCUUCUCCUUCAGUAUCUUUGCUUUCUCCGUAUCGUUAGCCCUUUGUAUCUCUACUCUUAAACUCUCCACCUCGUCUCUCUCCCUCUGCAGUCGAGCUCUGUGCUCUAGCUCCUCUGUCACUAUCUCAUACCUCUUCUUCUCCAUUUCUUCUUUAGCUUUUCGUAUAUCAUCCUUCUGUUUUUCUAGAAUAUCUUUGUCCUUCUGCAUCUCUAUUUUCAUAUGUUUCACCCUAUCAGUUUCUCUUUUUAUUUCCUCAACUCUGGCAUCCAUAGAUAUCAUGUGAUUUUGUAUGUCCACUUUGGCCUGUCCGAUCUUUUCCCAUUCCUUUUUGACCAACUCUCUAUUCAUCACCAACUCCUCUCGACCUCUCUCAAUUUCAUAUUUCAUCUCUUCCAGAUCCUUUUCUUUUCUUAAAAUAUCUUGCCAUUUCUUUUCAAUGAGGUUGUUUUCUGUAAGCGCUUGAGCUCUCAGCUGGUUUAUUCUCUCAAUCUCUUGUUUUGAAAAAUCUCUGUUUCUUUCAACCUCUUCUCUUGUUCUUUGAAUCUCGUCUUGCAGGUAUUUCAGCUCAUCUUUCUCUCUUUGGAUUAUAGCUCUCUGUUCCAGCCCUUCUUUCUCUGUUUCAUGCCAUCUUUGCUCCAUUUCCAUCUUCACUUGCUGUAUGUCAACUUUAAUCUGCUCAAAUUGGUCUCUUUGCCUCUUGAUGUCAUACUUCUUUCUCUCCAGGUCGCUUUUCUCCUCCUCUAUUUCAGCUUUCAUCUGCUCCAUCUGACACUUUGCUUUCUGUGUUUCCCCGAUCUUCAUCUCUAUCUCGUUGAUCUGAACUUGUAUGGCACUUUUCAUUUGUUCCAUUCGUUCCAUCUCGUACUUUGUGCUUUCACGGUUGCUCUCCAGCUCCUCCUUCUGUCUCAGAGUCUCAUAUCUGAUCAUCUCCAAGUUCUGUCUCUCUCUCAUGAUUUCAUCAUGCUUUUGCUCCAGGGUGGUUUGCUCAGUUUGGAGAUCAGAUCUCAUUUGCUCAAUCCUCUCCCUCUCUCUAUUUACCUCUUCUUUAUUACGAUCCAUUCUUUCGCAGAUGUGGUCCAUCUCAGCUUUCAUGUGAGUAAUAGUUCUCUCAAGUUGUCUUUUCUCAGUGGUCAUCCUGACUAUCUCAUCUUGCUGUUUCUGAAUCCUCUGUCUCAUGUAGUCUAUCUCAGUCCUCUCUUGCUUAGUUCCUUCCCAAAGUUUCUCGAUCUGCUCAAUGGCACGCAUUGUUUCUAGUCUACGCCUUUUUAGAGAGUCUUUUCUUUUCUGGGUGUCACUUGAAUGUCCAUUUCUGUCAUCCUGUCUUCUUUUUUCUCUGGGAGAACUGGGUGGACUGAUUCUCUCUGUUUGUGUAUGCUUGCUGUUGCGUUGUCUCCACUCUGCAAAAUAAUAAUAAAAAAAGAUAAAUAACUAAACUUAUUAUUAUUAUUAAUAAAUAAAUAUUAAUGCAAACGUUUUUUUUUCUUUCUCAUACAACUUAGUAAGUUUGUAGUGCCAUGUUAAUAAUGACCAUGACUGAAUUAACUUAGUGAUAAGAAUUCACAAACUGGACAGAUCCAGUUCUCGUUAAAUGGCACUAUUGCUAUCCACUAAAAUUAAUUAGAUUUUCUAACCUAGUUCUUGAAUCAGUUCAGGCUCUGUCAUUCUCAGGAUGAGAUGGAAGGACACUCUGUUUAGGGGUGGCUCUCUUUCCAAAGCCUCAAACAGGAGCCGCAUUGCCUCCUGCUGGGUUGGAGCAGCCUGCACUUGUUGAGCUGCUGCUUCAUGGAUCAGACUUUGGGAGACAACAGCCUCAGCAAUGUCACUGACCCGAGUAGCCCUCGUAAUUAUCUGCUCCUUGAAUUCUGUCAGGAAAUCUCCAACUGUUGGGAAGGAGAACAUUUGCACUGCAUUAAUAAACAAUGCAUUACACAGUCACAAUUAAAUGUAGAUUAAAUUAAGUAGUGCAGUGAACUUUACCGUAAUCUCUGGAUUCUGCCAUGGCUGCUUGCUUGCUUAAGAAAUUAAUUCCAUUGUGUACUACAGUAUUUAAAAAUAACAAAAUAUCAUUAAAAAUAAAGGAACAUAAGGAAUAAACAUAAAGGAUAAAGUGUACAGAAAUGUAAAGGUGAAGUUAUUUGAGUGUUGUACCGUUUUCAAAAGAUUUUAACUGUGAAAUGUAUUGUAAAAUAGAGAAAAACAAUAAAGCAAGAUAUACAUUCAAUCCAGAUCAUUUUUAUACAUGAGUAUUAAGGAGGCAGAAAUGGGAUUGCAGCAUUUUUUAUAGACUUGCAUUGUUUUCUUGACAAAUGUUUUUAUCCUUUAACUUAAUAAGUAAAACACAUUUUGAAGUUAUAAAUAACAUGAUUAUUAAUAUGUUUUACAAUAAAUAUUAUUUCAGUUUCUCUUCAAAAUGUCAUGUUUAAUUUGUUGCCAUGUCCUUAUAUUUGUUUGUGAAAUUUACUAGCCAUUUCUGAGUGAUUUUUUUUUUCUAGUGCUAAGAUAUGACUUAAGGAACUAAUAUUAUUUUAUAAAAUUGUUUAAAAGAUUCUUACCUUUUGUGAUAUUACUGGAUUUAAUUAGUUCUGUAAAAAGUUGUGGUCUGAUGAUGGAGGCAUAUUGCUCUAGUAAUGGUGAAG